Molecule: ribosomal RNA, 478 nt
Filed under: uncultured bacterium
Lineage: Bacteria
Description: bacterial SSU rRNA
Rfam family: Bacterial small subunit ribosomal RNA
Source: RNAcentral
AUUGAACGCUGGCGGCGUGCUUAACACAUGCAAGUCGAGCGGUAACAGGUGUAGCAAUACAUGCUGACGAGCGGCGAACGGGUGAGUAAUGCUUCGGAAUCUUCCUCGUAGUGGGGAAUAACCUGGGGAAACUCAGGCUAAUACCGCAUACGAACUACGGUUGAAAGCAGGGGAUCGCAAGACCUUGCGCUAUGAGAUGAGCCGAAGUCGGAUUAGCUAGUUGGUGAGGUAAAGGCUCACCAAGGCGACGAUCCGUAGCUGGUCUGAGAGGACGACCAGCCACACUGGGACUGAGACACGGCCCAGACUCCUACGGGAGGCAGCAGUGGGGAAUAUUGGACAAUGGGGGCAACCCUGAUCCAGCGACGCCGCGUGUGUGAAGAAGGCCUGCGGGUUGUAAAGCCCUUUCGGCGGGGACGAUGAUGACGGUACCCGCAGAAGAAGCCCCGGCUAACUUCGUGCCAGCAGCCGCGGUAAU